Molecule: ribosomal RNA, 763 nt
Filed under: uncultured Streptococcus sp.
Lineage: Bacteria; Bacillati; Bacillota; Bacilli; Lactobacillales; Streptococcaceae
Description: bacterial SSU rRNA
Rfam family: Bacterial small subunit ribosomal RNA
Source: RNAcentral
GACGAACGCUGGCGGCGUGCCUAAUACAUGCAAGUAGAACGCUGAAGGAGGAGCUUGCUUCUCCGGAUGAGUUGCGAACGGGUGAGUAACGCGUAGGUAACCUGCCUGGUAGCGGGGGAUAACUAUUGGAAACGAUAGCUAAUACCGCAUAACAGUAGAUAUUGCAUGAUAUCUGCUUGAAAGGUGCAAAUGCAUCACUACCAGAUGGACCUGCGUUGUAUUAGCUAGUUGGUGAGGUAACGGCUCACCAAGGCAACGAUACAUAGCCGACCUGAGAGGGUGAUCGGCCACACUGGGACUGAGACACGGCCCAGACUCCUACGGGAGGCAGCAGUAGGGAAUCUUCGGCAAUGGACGGAAGUCUGACCGAGCAACGCCGCGUGAGUGAAGAAGGUUUUCGGAUCGUAAAGCUCUGUUGUAAGAGAAGAACGAGUGUGAGAGUGGAAAGUUCACACUGUGACGGUAUCUUACCAGAAAGGGACGGCUAACUACGUGCCAGCAGCCGCGGUAAUACGUAGGUCCCGAGCGUUGUCCGGAUUUAUUGGGCGUAAAGCGAGCGCAGGCGGUUAGAUAAGUCUGAAGUUAAAGGCUGUGGCUUAACCAUAGUACGCUUUGGAAACUGUUUAACUUGAGUGCAAGAGGGGAGAGUGGAAUUCCAUGUGUAGCGGUGAAAUGCGUAGAUAUAUGGAGGAACACCGGUGGCGAAAGCGGCUCUCUGGCUUGUAACUGACGCUGAGGCUCGAAAGCGUGGGGAGCAAACAGG